GGUUCGAUUCUGGCUCAGAUUGAACGCUGGCGGGAUGCUUUACGCAAGUUUGAACGGCAGCACGGACUUCGGUCUGGUGGCGAGUGGCGAACCGCGAGUAAUGUAUCGGAACGUGCCUAGUAGCGGGGAUAACUACGCGAAAGUUUACAAGACGCAGAACAUUCGGGAAAGCGGGGACCUUCGGGCCUCGCACUAUUAGAGCGGCUUAUUUUAUCGGAUUAGCUAGUUGGUGGGGUAACGGCUCACCAAGGCGACGAUCCGUAGCUGGUUUGAGAGGACGACCAGCCACACUGGGACUGGAGACACGGCCCAGACUCAUCGGAGCAGUGGGGUGAAAUCGGACAAUGGGGGAAACCCUGAUCCAGCCAUCCCGCGUGCGAUGAAGGCCUUCGGGUUGUAAAGCACUUUUUGGCAGGAAAGAAACGGCACGGGAUAAUACCCUCGUGCAACUGACGGUACCUGCAGAAUAAGCACCGGCUAACUACGUGCCAGCAGCCGCGGUAAUACGUAGGGUGCAAGCGUUAAUCGGAAUUACUGGGCGUAAAGCGUGCGCAGGCGGCUCUGGAAAGAAAGACGCGUGAAAUCCCAGAGCUUAACUUUGGAACUGCAUUUUUAACUACCGAGCUAGAGUGUGUCAGAGGGAGGUGGAAUUCGCGUAUAGCAGUGAAAUGCGUAGAUAUGCGGAGGAACACCGAUGGCGCCGCCGCGCUCCUGGGAUAACACCUCCGACGCUCGGCGCACGAAAGCGUGGGAGCAAACAGAUUAGAUACCCUGGUAGUCCACGCCCUAAACGAUGUCAACUAGCUGUUGGGGCCUUCGGCCUGCAGUAGCGCAGCUAACGCGUGAAGUUGACCGCCUGGGGAGUACGGUCGCAAGAUUAAAACUCAAAGGAAUUGACGGGGACCCGCACAAGCGGUGGAUGAUGUGGAUUAAUCUUCGAUGCAACGCGAAACCACCUACCCUUGACAUGUCUGGAAUCCCGAAGAGAUUUGGGAGUGCUCGCAAGAGAACUCGAACACAGGUGCUGCAUGGCUGUCGUCAGCUCGUGUCGAGAUGUUGGGUUAAGUCCCGCAACUGAGCGCAACCCUUGUCAUUAGUUGCUACGAAAGGGCACUCUAAUGAGAUCGCCGGCACGCAAAACCGGAGGAAGGUGGGGAUGACAAGUCCUCAUGGUCUCUAUGGUAGGGCUUCACACGUCAUACAAUGGUCGGGACAGAGGGUCGCCAACCCGCGAGGGGGAGCCAAUCCCAGAAACCCGAUCGUAGUCCGAUCGCAGUCUGCAACUCGACUGCGUGAAGUCGGAAUCGCUAGUAAUCGCGGAUCAGCAUGUCGCGGUGAAUACGUUCCCGGGUCUUGUACACACCGCCCGUCACACCAUGGGAGUGGGUUUUACCAGAAGUAGUUAGCCUAACCGUAAGGAGGGCGAUUACCACGGUAGGAUCAUGACUGGUGAAGUCGUAACAAGGUA
RNAcentral lists this ribosomal RNA (1468 nucleotides) under uncultured Bordetella sp. RNAcentral describes it as "partial 16S-23S ribosomal RNA intergenic spacer". It matches the Rfam family "Bacterial small subunit ribosomal RNA". Lineage: Bacteria; Pseudomonadati; Pseudomonadota; Betaproteobacteria; Burkholderiales; Alcaligenaceae. The record is from RNAcentral.